This 563-nucleotide ribosomal RNA is filed under the name uncultured bacterium. RNAcentral describes it as "partial 16S ribosomal RNA". It matches the Rfam family "Bacterial small subunit ribosomal RNA", at positions 355 to 911 of the family's 1533-position model. The record is from RNAcentral.
UGGGGAAUUUUGGACAAUGGGGGAAACCCUGAUCCAGCCAUCCCGCGUGUGCGAUGAAGGCCUUCGGGUUGUAAAGCACUUUUGGCAGGAAAGAAACGUCGCGGGUUAAUACCCCGCGGAACUGACGGUACCUGCAGAAUAAGCACCGGCUAACUACGUGCCAGCAGCCGCGGUAAUACGUAGGGUGCAAGCGUUAAUCGGAAUUACUGGGCGUAAAGCGUGCGCAGGCGGUUCGGAAAGAAAGAUGUGAAAUCCCAGAGCUUAACUUUGGAACUGCAUUUUUAACUACCGGGCUAGAGUGUGUCAGAGGGAGGUGGAACUCCGCGUGUAGCAGUGAAAUGCGUAGAUAUGCGGAGGAACACCGAUGGCGAAGGCAGCCUCCUGGGAUAACACUGACGCUCAUGCACGAAAGCGUGGGGAGCAAACAGGAUUAGAUACCCUGGUAGUCCACGCCCUAAACGAUGUCAACUAGCUGUUGGGGUCUUCGGACCUUGGUAGCGCAGCUAACGCGUGAAGUUGACCGCCUGGGGAGUACGGUCGCAAGAUUAAAACUCAAAGGAAUU